Molecule: unclassified non-coding RNA, 1320 nt
Filed under: Hevea brasiliensis (rubber tree)
Lineage: Eukaryota; Viridiplantae; Streptophyta; Magnoliopsida; Malpighiales; Euphorbiaceae
Source: RNAcentral
CUUCUGGGCAUUCAAAUAGAUGCAGCAAUAAAUCCUGGUAAUAGUGGGGGCCCUGCAUUCAAUGAUGAUGGAGAGUGCAUAGGAGUGGCAUUUCAGGUUUACAGGUCAGAUGACGUUGAGAAUAUUGGUUAUGUUAUCCCAGCCAUGGUAGUGUCUCAUUUUCUGGAAGACUACGAAAGGAACGGGAAGUACAGUGGUUUUCCUUGCCUUGGGGUAUUGUUGCAAAAAUUGGAGAAUCCAGCACUACGUGCCUGCUUGAGAGUUCCUUCGAAUGAGGGCGUACUCGUACGGAAAAUCGAGCCUACUUCUGAUGUUAGCAAUGUCGUGAAAGAGGGCGACGUGAUUGUUAGCUUUGAUGGUGUUCGUGUCGGGUGUGAAGGGACAGUGCCAUUUCGAUCAAGUGAACGCAUUGCGUUUCGCUAUCUCAUCAGUCAAAAGUUCACUGGUGAUGUAGCUGAACUUGGUAUUAUUAGAGCUGGGGAAUUCCUGAAAGUUCAAGCAGUUUUGAAGCCACGUGUGCAUUUGGUUCCUUAUCACAUAGAAGGCGGUCAACCUUCAUACCUAAUAGUUGCUGGCUUGGUGUUUACACCUCUAUCCGAACCCUUAAUAGAGGAAGAAUGUGAAGAUACCAUAGGGCUAAAACUAUUGAUAAAGGCUCGAUACUCUUUUGCAAAGUUUGAAGAGGAACAGAUUGUCAUACUAUCACAGGUCUUGGCAAAUGAAGUGAAUAUUGGGUAUGAGGAUUUAAGCAAUGAGCAGGUCUUAAAGUUGAAUGGGACUCGAAUUAAGAACAUUCACCAUUUGGCUCAUCUAGUGGAUUCUUGCAAGGAUAAAUAUCUAGUGUUUGAAUUUGAAGACAACUUUCUGGUUGCUCUAGAAAGGGAGGCAGCCUCGUCUGCGUCAUCUAGUAUUCUUAUAGACUAUGGUAUUCCGGCUGAAAGAUCAUCGGAUCUCUUGGAGCCAUAUGUUGAUUCUAUUGGACCAUAUGAAGCAACUGAUCAACAUGAGUUUGGUGAUAGUCCAGUUUCUAAUUCAGAAUUUGGAUAUGAUGGGCUUCUUUGGGCUUGAUCAUGACAUGUGAAGUUCAAUUCAAGGUUCUCAUUUGGACUAUUGUUCCUUCAUACUAAAGAACACGGAUGAUCAGGCAACAUUGACCAUGCGGAAUCUGUAUGGCAGGUGUUCUAGUUUGCUGUCUCCUUUGUCAAAGCUGUUGCAAGAUUGUCCCUGAGCGUGGAUAAUGUUCUAUACAAAUGAAGUGAACAACAAAAAUGUCCCCAGGUACACGCAUUUUUUUUCACGUGUAAGAAGGAUGUUAGAGAA